CCUGCGUGGAAAGCUGGAGUGUUAACCACUCGACCAAUCCACCCAUGUACAGUACAGUACCCAAUCCCUGUUCAGAGCAGGAGGUUUAUUUCUUUAAGUGUAUAUUUUGUAUCCGUCAUUAAUGUGAUUUUCGUUGGAUUCCCUUCAUGAUAGAUUCUACUUUACUCAUUAUGCAUGUGACAUGUCAUAAAGUUAUUUGCUACCCUUAUAACCUAUAUACUAGUAUCGUACUUGUGAUUUGUGCUAUAGUUAUAUACUACCUUACACAUCGUACUUGUGAUUUGUGCUAUAGUUAUCACCCUUUAUUGCAUAUUCACUAUAUUUUACUAUACACAUGCUAUUUGUGUUAGAGUUAAGGGAUAUGUGCUUUAGCUAUAAUGGUUUAUGACACCUACCAUAUUAUACAAUAUUUACUGAUAGACUUAAGGUGAUAUAUGGGCCUGGCCUAAGUAGAGCAAUAUCUAGUGAAACCGAUUAUAUUUUGUUUGAGUGCAAGAUUAAAAUGUAUGUAUACUAUUUAAUUUAUGUUUACUUCAUGAUCUAAAAUUUCAGGCCCUAUUCCGAACCAAAGAGGACGCUUUUCCAUCUCCAACCGCAGAAUUGCAUCAGAGGUAGUUGAAGGGCACGCCAACAUCCAACAGCCCGAACACGACGGACCAAAGACGCAGAACAUCGUCAGAUCCAUCAACAGGAUAUGCCAGACCAUGCGGCCCAAGGACCCUCAAGAUCUGGAUUUUGAGGUAUCCUACAGUAAUAUUGGACGAAUGUAUUGUAAUUUAAUCAUCCCUGUUCAUUAACCCCUUCUUAAUUUGUUUUGGAUAUAUCUGUUGCAGUUUGGCGUUGUUACUUUCGCUGACUUGUCAAUUGGUUAAAGUUAUGUUCUCCUAUUUUAAUGAAGACCUUUUACACAGAUGGACAGAGACUUUCUUGAUCCACUGCACCCAAAUUCUUUCUGCGGGCCAUCACCGUCGACGGUAAGCCCCAUCUUACCUUGGCAACUGACAGACAACUCGACCUCCUCGCCAAGACCAAGACUUGUUAUAUGGAUGCCACCUUCCGUGUUGUACAUGAACCUUUUACUCAGAAUCCAUAGUUUUGUGCGUUUAGGAAACAGAUACCUUUUGUAGUCUGUUUUAUGUCUGGAAAGCGUAUUCAGAUGUUUAUGAGACUCGGGACGUUUUGCCUAUCGAUUGGGAGCGUAUACACACUGCAUCAGAUAGGUUACAGGUAAGGUGUAGAUAUAAUAUAUUUCCAAACUAAUGAAUCUUAUUGACGAUACAUGAAAGUAUUCUGUAAUGGUUAAUUGAUUAUAAUUCCAGGAUUGUUAUCCUUAAAUAAUGACACUAUUUUUUUUACAUUGUGAGGUCCUUAGAAGCAUCGACCGUCAGCUUCCAGACAGUUUCAGCUAGUAAAGGAAGCUGGUGUUUGGCAAGUCAUCCGCCAGAGGUAUUCCGACACUAUGACAGGGGAUGUGGUUUUCACUGGACACAGGUUUUCACGAGAUUGUGAAAAUAUUGUAGACUUUAUAUAAUUUUCAACUACACAAUAUACAAACUAUAGAUUUAUUAACUUUAAGACUGCCUACAUUGAGCGAGGGGAUGUGUAUGCAUAUCUACGCCAGGUUCUCUCA
Molecule: unclassified non-coding RNA, 1630 nt
Filed under: Mizuhopecten yessoensis (Yesso scallop)
Lineage: Eukaryota; Metazoa; Mollusca; Bivalvia; Pectinida; Pectinidae
Description: uncharacterized LOC110450228, transcript variant X2
Source: RNAcentral